AAAAAAAAAAAACAGGAACCUUAGUUGAUAAAGAAGUCCAAACCCGCUAGAUGUAUCAAGAGCGUUGAGAAAACUUCUCCUAGAGUUAAGAGGAAAGAAAAGAAUGAUAUGAAAAAAAAAAGAGUUUGAAAGAUUCAUGAGUGCAAAGGGUAGAGUUAAGUUGGGACAGGAGUUGGGAUUACCAUUAGAGCUUCAUUGUUAUACUCUGGGUAGAUGGGAUCUUAUCUCUAUAUGCAUAACUUGGGACUUACCUUUAGCAUUCUACUAAAGCUCAAUCAUUCUUGAGGGAUCCCCAGUUACUUAAGCCUAUUCUGUAGGGGACCAUCUUUGUCUCUUGACCUUCACCUUAGCCAAAUGAGUUCAUUGAUGAUGCAUUGCUUGAUUCACGUUCCAGAACUAAUGAAUGUUAAAGGGAUUGGUAGAUUUGAAAACAUGUGUAGGUCGAGUAUAAGAGACGGAUUUAUUGAUAACAAGGCAUGGCUAACGUUUUUGAGUGGAAUUCAAUCAUAUCGCAUCUUAGAACUACCAACUUGGACAUUGGUUUUAUUUGCUCUAUCAUAUGCAUUGGUUCUGAGUCCCCGCCUUCACUCCUCUCCUUCAACUAUGUCUUCUUAUUUGCUUGAGGGCAAGCAAAGACUAAGUUUGGGGGAGUUGAUAUGUCUAUAAUUUGCAUGUUUUCAGUGUCUAUUCAUCAUCACUUUGAGUCUAGUUUCGUAUCAUUCAUCACUGUUUUAUAUCAUUUCUCAUCAUUCUUGCACACUUUGCAUGAUUAGGAUAGCUUUGCAUACAUAUUGCAUUUCUGAGUUGUUUUCAGGUGAUUUGGAGCUGUUUGCGAGCAAAUUGGAAGAAACGAGCCAGAACCAGAAGACAUACUCGACCCCCAGGCCGAGUGACUUUGGAGCCAUUCUUCCCACAUACUCGACCCCCAGGUCGAGUGACUUUGGAGCCAUUCUUCCCGUCCACUCGACCACCAGGUCGAGUAACCUCAGCUCAGGCCACUCGACGACAUUACUCGACCCCCGGUCGAGUACCGCUUCGCCACACCACCUGACCACACUCGACCAUUCACUCUACCACGUUACUCGACCCCCUGGUCGAGUAUCAUCACUCACCACCAUCACCAUCACUCGACCGGACACUCGAUCACGUCUUCACAGUCUACUCAAAUCCGCACUCAACCAGACAAGCUGAGCACAAGGAAGAAAAGAGGAGAAGACAAAGUGUUUGGAAGCGGCCUGGACCUCCAUCGGAUCACGAAGCCCAUCUCGGCCCAUUAUCACUCUAUGGGCCGGGCGAUUAGGUUAUUGGCCCGUCUACUAUCAUUUUAUUUCGUUUGGUAUAAAUAGAUGUUUUAGGGUUCUGUCCUAAAUCAUCUAGUCGACAUUGCGUUUUUGCUUCAGUUUUAUUUUCAGUUUUACUCUGCUACGCCGCUUUUGCUUCUGCAACCUGUAGUUCGCGAUUUUUCCAAGUUAUUGAGAUUCCGCGUUUGAUUUCAUUAGUCAUCUUGUUUCUCUACUCUUUAUCUCUUUACUUAUGCAAUAUUAUCGUUUAUCUGCGUUUAUGUCUUUGAGCAUGUUGUCUGAGUAGUGACUUAGAAUUCUUAGGGAUGGGAUAGAGUAGUUGUGGAAUCCGUAGUCUAUAGAAUGGUUAAGUUUUAGAAUUGAUUGAAUCCCUUUAGGACUAGUUGCGUUUACUGCUAAUUUCUUUCUGAUCAACUGGAAUUCGAUCCCAAGCAUUCCCGCACCCAGAAGGUGUUCGAUGGAAUGCUUGAUCCACUAGUUCCUGAGAUAUGCGUCUCUAUCCCAAGGGAUUGGCCGUUUAGAGCGUUUAUUGACUUUAUCAGUCUGUUCGUAUUGCCUGCAUAGUUAGAUUUCGUUAAUGGGAAUUAGUCUGGGCUAGCUUUGCUUGAGGAUUUCUAUCACGGGAGUGAAUUGGUCUGUUGUUGAACCUGUUGUCUAGGGAUAGCUUGAUUGCGCUUGUUAACCAUUCGAAUAGGCUAGGACACCACUCUACUCGAUUACCCCAUCCUUAGGAAAUUCUCGUCUAUCUUAUUUCUCUGUUUUAUCGUUAUCGCUUAAUCGUUCUCAUUGCCUGUUUCUUAGUUUUUACAAUCACUCGACCAACUUACUCGACCACACCCAGUGUCUGGCAACAGACUGUGCAGUCGAGUAUAGCUGUUUCAUAUCCUGUCUAUUACUCGACCUGUUACUCGACCACAUCCUACUUCUGGCAUCAGCCUGUUGUGGUCGAGUGAUUUUAGUAAUUCUGUUAUUGCUUCUGUUUUCUGCCUGUUCGCUUAGGACUGUUAGAAACCCCAAAACUGUUAUUGCUUGGCUUGACUUAGUGACUUCUGAUCACAUCUCAUCUGUUUGCAUCACACCCAUUUGGAUUGACACCUAAAAUACUACAACGACAUGAUUGGUGUUUUAGGAAUAAUUGACUAAAAAUAUAUUAUCAAUCUCCGAGUUGAGAGAGCCAAGGAGCAGGCAGAGACGAGCUUCCACACGCUCGACCGGACAGAACGAGCAACACCCUUCCGCCUCAACUUCAGCCUCUACCUAUACCCAAGAGAGUAUGGAUGACUAUGUCUACAUCUACUUCACCUGAUCAUAGAGGUAACACCACCUCUCCAUUGUAUAUACCAUAGCAUCUUUUUAUUUUUAUUUUUGUGUUUUGUGCUCAGGUAGUUAGUUCUCUGUUGCAUAACGAUUGUAUCUCUGAAGUAAGACUGCACCCUGCUUUGAAUUUGUAACUUGACUAUACUACUUUGAUCAAAACUCGCUUAUCUGAUGCCAUUCCCUAUCUAUGAGAACCUGAACUGAAUUUGAAAUUAUCAUGUCUAUGCAUUGUUUAUGAACUCAUGGCUACCAUAUACAUACUUGGAUCAUCUUAUUCACUUCAUCACCCUCUGUUAAUCCAAGUAGUUAUCUCUCAUCUUUAGAGCAGUUUUCCAUACCCUUAGCGUA
This 2966-nucleotide small RNA is filed under the name Arabidopsis thaliana (thale cress). RNAcentral's name for it is "ATSL271060". Lineage: Eukaryota; Viridiplantae; Streptophyta; Magnoliopsida; Brassicales; Brassicaceae. The record is from RNAcentral.